RNAcentral lists this transfer RNA (74 nucleotides) under Candidatus Woesearchaeota archaeon. RNAcentral's name for it is "tRNA-Arg". It matches the Rfam family "tRNA". From Rfam's summary of the family: Transfer RNA (tRNA) molecules are approximately 80 nucleotides in length. Their secondary structure includes four short double-helical elements and three loops (D, anti-codon, and T loops). The record is from RNAcentral. Lineage: Archaea; Nanobdellati; Candidatus Woesearchaeota.
GCCCCUGUAGUAUAGCCUGGAUAGAAUACGGGCUUGCGGAGCCUGUGACCGGGGUUCGAAUCCCCGCAGGGGCA